UACGGGGGGGGCAAGCGUUGUUCGGAAUUACUGGGCGUAAAGGGUCUGUAGGUGGCCAACUAAGUCAGACGUGAAAUCCCUCAGCUUAACUGGGGAACUGCGUCUGAUACUGGAUGGCUUGAGUGCAGGAGAGGAACGCGGAGUUCCAGGUGUAGCGGUGAAAUGCGUAGAUAUCUGGAGGAACACCGGUGGCGAAGGCGGCGUUCUGGACUGCAACUGACACUGAGAGACGAAAGCCAGGGGAGCAAACGGG
RNAcentral lists this ribosomal RNA (253 nucleotides) under uncultured bacterium. RNAcentral's name for it is "partial 16S ribosomal RNA". It matches the Rfam family "Bacterial small subunit ribosomal RNA", at positions 524 to 776 of the family's 1533-position model. The record is from RNAcentral.